UGGGCCUACGGGGGGCAGCAGUGGGGAAUAUUGCACAAUGGGGGAAACCCUGAUGCAGCGACGCCGCGUGAGUGAAGAAGUAUCUCGGUACGUAAAGCUCUAUCAGCAGGGAAGAAAAUGACGGUACCUGACCAAGAAGCCCCGGCUAACUACGUGCCAGCAGCCGCGGUAAUACGUAGGGGGCAAGCGUUAUCCGGAUUUACUGGGAGUAAAGGGAGCGCAGACGGCAAGGCAAGUCUGAUGUGAAAGUCCGAGGCUCAACCUCGGGACUGCAUUGGAAACUGUCUGGCUAGAGUGCAGGAGAG
This 305-nucleotide ribosomal RNA is filed under the name uncultured bacterium. RNAcentral's name for it is "bacterial SSU rRNA". It matches the Rfam family "Bacterial small subunit ribosomal RNA", at positions 334 to 656 of the family's 1533-position model. The record is from RNAcentral.